Molecule: long non-coding RNA, 473 nt
Filed under: Vitis vinifera (wine grape)
Lineage: Eukaryota; Viridiplantae; Streptophyta; Magnoliopsida; Vitales; Vitaceae
Description: long non-coding RNA (VVIN_LNC007549)
Source: RNAcentral
UUGAAUAAAUUUUCAUGGUUAAGAAACCUAAAUUAUGUUGUUUUAUUUCGGUUCCUUGUAAUAGGUAAAGAUCGCCUACAUAGAAGAAUCACAGAGGGAAAGUCCAUGUAAGGUAGGGAAUUUUAUGCUAUCCCAUAAUGUAUCUGAUUUCUUUUCUUGAAACAUUUAUUGGAAAUUUCAUGUCAUUUCUAUGAUUUCGUAAAAUGUUUUAAUGUGUCAUUGCAUCUUGGUUUAUUGUGUUGAAAUGUUACAUUGAGAUUGGAACGCAUAUUGGUAUGACGAUUCUUGGUUUAGUGUUGUGGAAAUGGUUCAUGGUGUGGUUGCAUUGACAGAAGGAUAUGGAAUAAUCACAGAUGAUAUUCAGAGAAUUGAUUGGUGGGAAGUGUUUAUGUGAUGUUACAAACAUUAUCUUUUGAUAUAUUGUUUAUGUGGGACCGUGGGUACUUGGGUGAAAGUCUCUAAAGCCCUCGAGG